CUGGUUGAUUCUGCCAGUAGUCAUAUGCUUGUCUCAAAGAUUAAGCCAUGCAUGUCUAAGUAUAAGCAAACUAUACGGUGAAACUGCGAAUGGCUCAUUAAAUCAGUUAUCGUUUAUUUGAUAGUACCUUACUACUUGGAUACCCGUGGUAAUUCUAGAGCUAAUACAUGCUAAAAACCUCGACUUCGGAAGGGGUGUAUUUAUUAGAUAAAAAACCAAUGCCCUUCGGGGCUCCUUGGUGAUUCAUAGUAACUUAUCGAAUCGCAUGGCCUUGCGCCGGCGAUGGUUCAUUCAAAUUUCUGCCCUAUCAACUUUCGAUGGUAGGAUAGUGGCCUACCAUGGUGGCAACGGGUAACGGGGAAUUAGGGUUCGAUUCCGGAGAGGGAGCCUGAGAAACGGCUACCACAUCCAAGGAAGGCAGCAGGCGCGCAAAUUACCCAAUCCCGAUACGGGGAGGUAGUGACAAUAAAUACUGAUACAGGGCUCUUUCGGGUCUUGUAAUUGGAAUGAGAACAAUCUAAAUCCCUUAACGAGGAACAAUUGGAGGGCAAGUCUGGUGCCAGCAGCCGCGGUAAUUCCAGCUCCAAUAGCGUAUAUUAAAGUUGUUGCAGUUAAAAAGCUCGUAGUUGAACCUUGGGUCUGGCUGGCCGGUCCGCCUCACCGCGUGCACUGGUCCGGCCGGACCUUUCCUUCUGGGAAGCCCCAUGGCCUUCACUGGCUGUGGGGGGAACCAGGACUUUUACUGUGAAAAAAUUAGAGUGUUCAAAGCAGGCCUUUGCUCGGAUACAUUAGCAUGGAAUAAUAGAAUAGGACGUGUGGUUCUAUUUUGUUGGUUUCUAGGACCGCCGUAAUGAUUAAUAGGGAUGGUCGGGGGCGUCAGUAUUCGGCUGUCAGAGGUGAAAUUCUUGGAUUUGCUGAAGACUAACUACUGCGAAAGCAUUCGCCAAGGAUGUUUUCAUUAAUCAGUGAACGAAAGUUAGGGGAUCGAAGACGAUCAGAUACCGUCGUAGUCUUAACCAUAAACUAUGCCGACUAGGGAUCGGACGGGGUUCAUAUGAUGACCCGUUCGGCACCUUACGAGAAAUCAAAGUUUUUGGGUUCUG
The sequence is a non-coding RNA, 1103 nucleotides long. It matches the Rfam family "Eukaryotic small subunit ribosomal RNA", at positions 4 to 1116 of the family's 1831-position model.